Molecule: long non-coding RNA, 1858 nt
Organism: Hippopotamus amphibius kiboko
Lineage: Eukaryota; Metazoa; Chordata; Mammalia; Artiodactyla; Hippopotamidae
Exons: 3
Source: RefSeq, a predicted model, not a curated record
CAAGGGCGUGGGCCUGCCGAGAGUACCUGACAGGUAACCAGCCCCAGCCCGGCGCCCGCUGCCGCCCCGAAACCGCUGUGUGUUGACCGCUCCGCAGGGCCCGCCCGGGAUUCGGCUCCCGCCGGCGAGGGGCCUUCCGAGACCUGGGGCUGCGGGUCCGGCCCCCUCAUCCGGAGGAAGUAGGUCUGAACCCGCGUUUCUAAUGAGCUCCCAGGUGAUGCCGAGGGUGCUGAUCCGAGACCACACCUUGAAGGAGCGCGGCGUGAGGAAGCCUUUCCACGUAGAGGACUGUGCCCUUUCCCUAACUUUGCUGCCUGCUCUCAUUCAGUUCAGGAUCUGAUGGAAGCAGGGCAAGGGGGUGCGCGCCCCUGCAGAAGGAUUGCAGUGCGGGGUGGACUCCCGCCGCGUGCCCGGCCGCGCACCUGCCUAAGAUGUCACACCUCCAACCAGACAAACCAGCCCCACCGAGCCCAUAGCUGACACUCCAGAACCACAGGACAAGCAGCCUGGCAGCUCCCGAAUGUUCUUGGGGCCGGCUCCUCACCAGGCCACAGGAAUAGAUGAAGAAUGGAUGGACUCCCUAAACUUCCCUCCUCAGGGUGACUGUAAACAGAGCUGCCCCUCCAGCCACCUGGGAGGCAGGGGAGGACAAGGGCCAGCCCAGGGUAGCUGACCUCCUGAAGCUCCCCAGUGCCUGGCUUCACCCACUGCAGCAGCCCACCUCAAGGACUGCUGAGGGUUGUCACCAGCCCAGGCAGCCCCCACCCCCCACCGUGGGACAGUGAGCCUGUGAGGCAGAGUCACACCUGUGAGCACCGGCUUUCCCUCCUGGGCUCCCAAGGCAGGGCUUUACUGACGACUUCCCCACCCCUAGACACACCACACACACACACACACACACACACACACACACACACACACACACACACACACACACACACACACACACACACACACACACACACACACACACCCGGCAUCACUCCAGUGUCAGUGCAGGACCCUGCCAAGCUCUGACUGGGUCCCGCUCCUUCCCUGCCCCCAGUCCGGCCCCCAGACUCACUUUGGCUGGGACCAGGGCGAGCAGCAUCCACCUCUCCACUGGGGCCUCCGCGGAGCAGAUCUGAGCCAGCCAGAGGCGCUGGGCAGGCGGCACGUCCUCCUGCUGCUGUCACUGUGACAGCCGCCGCCGCAUUUCCUAAUGAGUGAGCAGCUCUGGAGGACAGCGCCAGGAAGUGAAUGUGGCCCAACCCGUUUGAGACCGGGAGGCUCUUGGCAUCGCCCAGGGGUUUGGCCCCUGCUGGAGUCAGGUGAUCUGGAUGAGGAUACUAGGAGUGGAGGGGCCCCCCCUGCCUGAGGAGGAGCCCAGGGAUGGGUGCUGGAGACAAGCAGAGGGUCUCACGGUAGAGGCAGUGAUCCAGAACCUCUUUGACUGAGGCUCCCCAGAGAUGGGUCUCCUCGCCCCAACAAUAAGAGAGUCAUAAGUCCUUCAGCCUCCUGGACCCACAUCAGUGACCAUCCCCCCUCCGCCCCCUGCUCCCCUGCCAUGACAGAGGGAAGGUGGCAGAUCAGCCUCCAGAUCUGACAGUAAGGCUUUGCUGUCCAAAGUUAUGCACAAGUAUCUGGGUGAUGUGCUUAUGUACAUUUGUCCUUCAUCUUGCACUCAAAGGGGCUCAGAGCUCACAAGACCAAACACCACGGGGAUAAAGAAGGAGGGGGAAUAAAACAAACAAAGCAGAAGCACACACCUUCGUGGAAGGAAGUCCCUGAUACCAUGUAAUAGAAGUAAGUUUCAGAACAGUCUAUGUGAUUCUGUUUAUGGAAAUGAUAAUGUGUGAUCUUUUUUUGAUAAACGCUG